This 394-nucleotide ribosomal RNA is filed under the name uncultured Rhodocyclaceae bacterium. RNAcentral's name for it is "bacterial SSU rRNA". It matches the Rfam family "Bacterial small subunit ribosomal RNA", at positions 988 to 1382 of the family's 1533-position model. Lineage: Bacteria; Pseudomonadati; Pseudomonadota; Betaproteobacteria; Rhodocyclales; Rhodocyclaceae. The record is from RNAcentral.
GUCCGGAAUCCCGAAGAGAUUUGGGAGUGCUCGCAAGAGAACCGGAACACAGGUGCUGCAUGGCUGUCGUCAGCUCGUGUCGUGAGAUGUUGGGUUAAGUCCCGCAACGAGCGCAACCCUUGUCAUUAGUUGCCAUCAUUGGUUGGGCACUCUAAUGAGACUGCCGGUGACAAACCGGAGGAAGGUGGGGAUGACGUCAAGUCCUCAUGGCCCUUAUGGGUAGGGCUUCACACGUCAUACAAUGGUCGGUACAGAGGGUUGCCAACCCGCGAGGGGGAGCUAAUCCCACAAAGCCGAUCGUAGUCCGGAUCGCAGUCUGCAACUCGACUGCGUGAAGUCGGAAUCGCUAGUAAUCGUGGAUCAGCAUGUCACGGUGAAUACGUUCCCGGGUCUU